Molecule: ribosomal RNA, 465 nt
Filed under: uncultured bacterium
Lineage: Bacteria
Description: partial 16S ribosomal RNA
Rfam family: Bacterial small subunit ribosomal RNA
Source: RNAcentral
GACGAACGCUGGCGGCGUGCUUAACACAUGCAAGUCGAACGGAAAGGCCCUGCUUGCAGGGUACUCGAGUGGCGAACGGGUGAGUAACACGUGGGUGAUCUGCCCUGCACUUCGGGAUAAGCCGGGGAAACUGGGUCUAAUACCGGAUAGGAGCCAUUUUUAUUGUGAUGGUUGGAAAGUUUUUUCGGUGUAGGAUGAGCUCGCGGCCUAUCAGCUUGUUGGUGGGGUAAUGGCCUACCAAGGCGGCGACGGGUAGCCGGCCUGAGAGGGUGGACGGCCACAUUGGGACUGAGAUACGGCCCAGACUCCUACGGGAGGCAGCAGUGGGGAAUAUUGCACAAUGGGGGCAAGCCUGAUGCAGCGACGCCGCGUGGGGGAUGACGGCCUUCGGGUUGUAAACUCCUUUCGCUAGGGACGAAGCUUUUUGUGACGGUACCUAGAUAAGAAGCACCGGCUAACUACGUG